Long non-coding RNA from Mya arenaria, 1295 nucleotides. RefSeq lists it as uncharacterized. The transcript is spliced from 4 exons. The record is from RefSeq and is a predicted model, not a curated record. Lineage: Eukaryota; Metazoa; Mollusca; Bivalvia; Myida; Myidae.
UACCAAAAUAAUCAUGAAUAAUUUAUCUACCAACUGUAGUACGGUUUUUAUUUAAUUCUGUGAAACAAAAUAAAACGAGCAAAACGUUUGACAAGAAUGUUUUGUAAUAUGUCGUUUUUUCUGCCAGUCUUGGGACGUUUUGACUAAUAUAUUAUACUUCCGAUUUCGGAUAUUUGAAGAAUUGUUUUGAUUGUCAGUGACUUAUCAAGAAAACAUUGACGUCUCCUGCAUCGCCACUCAUUUGAUGCGAAGGAUUACAGAACGGAGGAAUAUGUUGGAAAGGAAAAAAAAAUAUAAGAAAAGGCUCAUUAUGGAGUCUGAGAAAAAUCAUCUUGGUGUAAUUUAAGAGUAUUCUUCAGUAUUUGACAGAGGUUCUAUCAUGCAAAAGUCAUACUAUGAAGUGUCUCACAGAUUUUCUCUAAAUUCCUGCAAUAUCCAAGAACAGUGUUGUGCAAAGAGGAAUAUUCUUCUUGCAAUUAGAAGUAACUACACUUCCAAAUACAGCAUGUACAGUUCCUUCAUUUUUUAAGUGAUUACAGAGUGAAAAUGUUUCCAUAUAAAAUGUUGUCUUUUUAUAUGUAAAGCUUCACAUGUUAUGAAUGGUUAAAAAUACAUGCAUAUACAUUUUGAUUCCAAAUCUAUGCACAUUUUGAUUCCAUUAAUAUACCACUUAAGUAUCUUAAAUUUGGUUUGAAACAGAAAUGUUGUCCUUUUGUUUGUUUCUAAACAAUAAGUGGAAUUAUUCGUGUUUAUUGUUACAAAGUCAAUUAAAAAAUGUCAGUGCUUUUGAAUAGUUGCCUUGGUAACCAGAGUCAAGUGUUCAUAGAAAACUGUCAUUGUUGUCUUUAUUUUCAAUGUGAUACUUUUUAGCAUGUCGGCUUCAGUCAAUAAAAUGUUUAUGUUAUUUUGUAUUCAUUUGGUCAUACUGUCUAUACAAGUAUAUUUCUGAUUAAAACCUUGAACAUUGCUGAUAAUGUCAUACUUAUAUUAAAAUAUUCAGAAUUGAUAGAUGGGUAUAAGUUCUUGAUUUUACAAUUGUCAGGCAAAUCAAUGCAAAAUAUACAUAAUUCUCCUUUUAAUAAAAAGCGUUUUAUCUUAGCAUUUUUUUUUGUAUUUUUAUUGAAUGGUUACCAUGGCAACUUAUUUUUUUUGCCUUUGAUCUUCCUUUUAAUAAUACUAUUAAUUGUAAGAAUGCAACAGUCCAUCAUUAAAUGGAAAAAUGUAGUUGUUCUUUGAAAUUAACCUUAUUGCUAGCUCAAAUUUCAAAAUAUACGGCAUUUUUAAAAUUUCUUAAA